GAUGAAGAACGUAGCGAAAUGCGAUAAGUAAUGUGAAUUGCAGAAUUCAGUGAAUCAUCGAAUCUUUGAACGCAUCUUGCGCUCCUUGGUAUUCUGAGGAGCAUGCCUGUUUGAGUGUCAUUAAAUCCUCAACCGCACUGACUUUGAAUUGGUGUGGCUUGGAUUUGGGGGGAAAAUUGUUGUGGGCUUUUUUGUAUAGUCUGCUCCCCUGAAAUUGAUUAGCGGUACCUUUGUGGAACUGUCUACAGGUGUGAUAAUUAUCUACAUCCUAGACAUCUGCUGGAAUGCUGCUUUCUAAACCUUACUUGUAUUGACAAUCUUGACCUCAAAUCAGGUAGGACUACCCGCUGAACUUAAGCAUAUCAAUAAGCGGAGGA
Molecule: unclassified non-coding RNA, 377 nt
Filed under: soil metagenome
Description: partial contains 5.8S ribosomal RNA, internal transcribed spacer 2, and large subunit ribosomal RNA
Rfam family: 5.8S ribosomal RNA (bases 1-120)
Source: RNAcentral